GAUUGAACGCUGGCGGCAUGCCUUACACAUGCAAGUCGAACGGCAGCACGGGAGCAAUCCUGGUGGCGAGUGGCGAACGGGUGAGUAAUACAUCGGAACGUGCCCAGUCGUGGGGGAUAACUACUCGAAAGAGUAGCUAAUACCGCAUACGACCUGAGGGUGAAAGCGGGGGAUCGCAAGACCUCGCGCGAUUGGAGCGGCCGAUGUCAGAUUAGCUAGUUGGCGGGGUAAAGGCCUACCAAGGCUACGAUCUGUAGUUGGUCUGAGAGGACGACCAGCCACACUGGGACUGAGACACGGCCCAGACUCCUACGGGAGGCAGCAGUGGGGAAUUUUGGACAAUGGGCGCAAGCCUGAUCCAGCAAUGCCGCGUGCAGGAAGAAGGCCUUCGGGUUGUAAACUGCUUUUGUCAGGGAAGAAAUCCUCUGGGUUAAUACCUCGGGGGGAUGACGGUACCUGAAGAAUAAGCACCGGCUAACUACGUGCCAGCAGCCGCGGUAAUACGUAGGGUGCGAGCGUUAAUCGGAAUUACUGGGCGCAAAGCGUG
This 547-nucleotide ribosomal RNA is filed under the name uncultured bacterium. RNAcentral's name for it is "bacterial SSU rRNA". It matches the Rfam family "Bacterial small subunit ribosomal RNA", at positions 27 to 569 of the family's 1533-position model. The record is from RNAcentral.